GAUGAACGCUGGCGGCGUGCCUAAUACAUGCAAGUCGAGCGAACGGACGAGAAGCUUGCUUCUCUGAUGUUAGCGGCGGACGGGUGAGUAACACGUGGAUAACCUACCUAUAAGACUGGGAUAACUUCGGGAAACCGGAGCUAAUACCGGAUGAUAUUUUGAACCGCAUGGUUCAAAAGUGAAAGACGGUCUUGCUGUCACUUAUAGAUGGAUCCGCGCUGCAUUAGCUAGUUGGUACGGUAACGGCUUACCAAGGCAACGAUGCGUAGCCGACCUGAGAGGGUGAUCGCCCACACUGGAACUGGGACACGGUCCAGACUCCUACGGGAGGCAGCAGUAGGGAAUGUGACGCAGUGGGCGAAAGCCUGACGGAGCAACGCCGAGUGAGUGAUGAAGGUCUUCGGAUCGUAAAACUCUGUUAUUAGGGAAGAACAUAUGUGUAAGUAACUGUGCACAUCUUGACGGUACCUAAUCAGAAAGCCACGGCUAACUACGUG
Molecule: ribosomal RNA, 497 nt
Filed under: uncultured bacterium
Lineage: Bacteria
Description: partial 16S ribosomal RNA
Rfam family: Bacterial small subunit ribosomal RNA
Source: RNAcentral